CAUGCCGUAAACGAUGAGUGCUAAGUGUUAGGGGGUUUCCGCCCCUUAGUGCUGCAGCUAACGCAUUAAGCACUCCGCCUGGGGAGUACGACCGCAAGGUUGAAACUCAAAGGAAUUGACGGGGGCCCGCACAAGCGGUGGAGCAUGUGGUUUAAUUCGAAGCAACGCGAAGAACCUUACCUGGACUUGACAUCCCCUGCAUAUCUCAGAGAUGAGAGAAGCCCUUCGGGGCAGGGAGACAGGUGG
Molecule: ribosomal RNA, 246 nt
Filed under: uncultured bacterium
Lineage: Bacteria
Description: partial 16S ribosomal RNA
Rfam family: Bacterial small subunit ribosomal RNA
Source: RNAcentral